This 69-nucleotide transfer RNA is filed under the name Ictidomys tridecemlineatus (thirteen-lined ground squirrel). RNAcentral's name for it is "Spermophilus tridecemlineatus (thirteen-lined ground squirrel) tRNA". It matches the Rfam family "tRNA". From Rfam's summary of the family: Transfer RNA (tRNA) molecules are approximately 80 nucleotides in length. Their secondary structure includes four short double-helical elements and three loops (D, anti-codon, and T loops). The record is from Rfam by way of RNAcentral. Lineage: Eukaryota; Metazoa; Chordata; Mammalia; Rodentia; Sciuridae.
GGGGUUGUGGUUCAGUGGUAGAGUACUUGCCUAGCAUGCAUGAGGCACUAGGUUUGAUCCUCAACACCA